This 497-nucleotide ribosomal RNA is filed under the name uncultured bacterium. RNAcentral describes it as "partial 16S ribosomal RNA". It matches the Rfam family "Bacterial small subunit ribosomal RNA", at positions 28 to 507 of the family's 1533-position model. The record is from RNAcentral.
GAUGAACGCUGGCGGCGUGCCUAAUACAUGCAAGUCGAGCGAACGGACGAGAAGCUUGCUUCUCUGAUGUUAGCGGCGGACGGGUGAGUAACACGUGGAUAACCUACCUAUAAGACUGGGAUAACUUCGGGAAACCGGAGCUAAUACCGGAUAAUAUUUUGAACCGCAUGGUUCAAAAGUGAAAGACGGUCUUGCUGUCACUUAUAGAUGGAUCCGCGCUGCAUUAGCUAGUUGGUAAGGUAACGGCUUACCAAGGCAACGAUGCAUAGCCGACCUGAGAGGGUGAUCGGCCACACUGGAACUGAGACACGGUCCAGACUCCUACGGGAGGCAGCAGUAGGGAAUCUUCCGCAAUGGGCGAAAGCCUGACGGAGCAACGCCGCGUGAGUGAUAAAGGUCUUCGGAUCGUAAAACCCUGUUAUUAGGGAAGAACAUAUGUGUAAGUAACUGUGCACAUCUUGACGGUACCUAAUCAGAAAGCCACGGCUAACUACGUG